This 1518-nucleotide ribosomal RNA is filed under the name uncultured bacterium. RNAcentral's name for it is "partial 16S ribosomal RNA". It matches the Rfam family "Bacterial small subunit ribosomal RNA". The record is from RNAcentral.
GAGUUUGAUCCUGGCUCAGGACGAACGCUGGCGGCGUGCUUAACACAUGCAAGUCGAGCGGAAAGGCUCCUUCGGGGGUACUCGAGCGGCGAACGGGUGAGUAACACGUGAGUAAUCUGCCCUCCACUCUGGGAUAGCCCUCCGAAAGGGGGAUUAAUACCGGAUACGACCACGGUACGCAUGUGCCUGUGGUGGAAAGUUUUUUCGGUGGGGGAUGUGCUCGCGGCCUAUCAGCUUGUUGGUGGGGUAAUGGCCUACCAAGGCUUCGACGGGUAGCCGGCCUGAGAGGGUGACCGGCCACACUGGGACUGAGACACGGCCCAGACUCCUACGGGAGGCAGCAGUGGGGAAUAUUGGACAAUGGGCGGAAGCCUGAUCCAGCAACGCCGCGUGAGGGAUGACGGCCUUCGGGUUGUAAACCUCUUUCAGCACCGACGAAGCGAGCCCUUGUGGUGAGUGACGGUAGGUGUAGAAGAAGGACCGGCCAACUACGUGCCAGCAGCCGCGGUAAUACGUAGGGUCCGAGCGUUGUCCGGAAUUAUUGGGCGUAAAGGGCUCGUAGGCGGUUUGUCGCGUCGGGAGUGAAAACACCGGGCUUAACUCGGUGCUUGCUUUCGAUACGGGCAGACUGGAGGUAUGCAGGGGAGAACGGAAUUCCUGGUGUAGCGGUGAAAUGCGCAGAUAUCAGGAGGAACACCGGUGGCGAAGGCGGUUCUCUGGGCAUUACCUGACGCUGAGGAGCGAAAGUGUGGGGAGCGAACAGGAUUAGAUACCGGGUAGUACACUCAGUAAACGUUGGGCGAUAGGUGUGGGAUACAUUUCACGGUCUCCGUAUCAUAGCUAACGCAUUAAGCGCCCCGAAUGGGGAGUUCGCCCGCAAGGCUACAAUUCAAAGGAAUUGACGGCGAGCCGCGCAAGCGGCGGAGCAUGCGGACUAAUUCGAUGCCACGCGAAGUACCUUACCUGGGUUUGCCAUACUUCGGAAAGCCGCUGAGAUGUGGCCCCUUUUGUCGGUGUACAGGUGGUGCAUGGCUGUCGUCAGCUCGUGUCGUGAGAUGUUGGGUUAACAAGGGCAACGAGCGCAACCCUGAAAGUAUGUUGCCAGCACAACCUUCGGGUUGGUGGGGAGUCAUGGGAGACUCACGGGGUCAACUCGGAGGAAGGUGGGGAUGACGUCAAGUCAUCAAGGAGUUUGGUCCAGGGUCAGUCGCAUGCUACAAUGGCCGGUACAGAGGGCCGCGAUCCCGUGAGGGGGAGCGAAUCCCUAAAAGCCGGUAUCAAUUCGAUAGGGGGUGAGCACAUCGACCCCAGAAAAUAGGAGUCACCACUAAUACCAGAUCAGCAACGUUGCGGUGAAUACUUUUCCGGGCCGGUAGCACACCGCAAGUCAGGGCAGAAAGUCGGCAACUACUGAAGCCGGUGGCGUAAGCGUUGUGGAGGGAGCCGUCGAAGGUGGGGACGGCGAUGGGGAAGCAGUCGUAACAAGGUAGCUCGUUCCGGCUGGAUCACCUCCUUUCU